RNAcentral lists this ribosomal RNA (253 nucleotides) under uncultured bacterium. RNAcentral describes it as "partial 16S ribosomal RNA". It matches the Rfam family "Bacterial small subunit ribosomal RNA", at positions 524 to 776 of the family's 1533-position model. The record is from RNAcentral.
UACGUAGGGUGCGAGCGUUAAUCGGAAUUACUGGGCGUAAAGCGUGCGCAGGCGGUUUUGUAAGCCAGAUGUGAAAGCCCCGGGCUUAACCUGGGAAUGGCAUUUGGGACUGCAAGGCUAGAGUGCGGCAGAGGAGACUGGAAUUCCUGGUGUAGCAGUGAAAUGCGUAGAUAUCUGGAGGAACACCGGUGGCGAAGGCGGCAUCCUGGACCGGCAUUGACGCUGAACAGCGAAAGCUAGGGGAGCAAACGGG